CUGAUGCGUUGUUGGGUAGGGGAGCGUUCUGUAAGCCUGCGAAGGUGUGCUGUGAGGCAUGCUGGAGGUAUCAGAAGUGCGAAUGCUGACAUAAGUAACGAUAAAGCGGGUGAAAAGCCCGCUCGCCGGAAGACCAAGGGUUCCUGUCCAACGUUAAUCGGGGCAGGGUGAGUCGACCCCUAAGGCGAGGCCGAAAGGCGUAGUCGAUGGGAAACAGGUUAAUAUUCCUGUACUUGGUGUUACUGCGAAGGGGGGACGGAGAAGGCUAUGUUGGCCGGGCGACGGUUGUCCCGGUUUAAGCGUGUAGGCUGGUUUUCCAGGCAAAUCCGGAAAAUCAAGGCUGAGGCGUGAUGACGAGGCACUACGGUGCUGAAGCAACAAAUGCCCUGCUUCCAGGAAAAGCCUCUAAGCAUCAGGUAACAUCAAAUCGUACCCCAAACCGACACAGGUGGUCAGGUAGAGAAUACCAAGGCGCUUGAGAGAACUCGGGUGAAGGAACUAGGCAAAAUGGUGCCGUAACUUCGGGAGAAGGCACGCUGAUAUGUAGGUGAAGUCCCUCGCGGAUGGAGCUGAAAUCAGUCGAAGAUACCAGCUGGCUGCAACUGUUUAUUAAAAACACAGCACUGUGCAAACACGAAAGUGGACGUAUACGGUGUGACGCCUGCCCGGUGC
This 672-nucleotide ribosomal RNA is filed under the name Escherichia coli. RNAcentral describes it as "partial 23S ribosomal RNA". It matches the Rfam family "Bacterial large subunit ribosomal RNA", at positions 1213 to 1869 of the family's 2925-position model. The record is from RNAcentral. Lineage: Bacteria; Pseudomonadati; Pseudomonadota; Gammaproteobacteria; Enterobacterales; Enterobacteriaceae.